GCCACUGUGGUGUAGUGGUUUGAGCAUUGGACUGUGACUCUGGAGACCAGGGUUUGAAUCCAUGCUUAGCCA
Phrynosoma platyrhinos (Desert horned lizard) is the source of this 72-nucleotide non-coding RNA. Lineage: Eukaryota; Metazoa; Chordata; Lepidosauria; Squamata; Phrynosomatidae. The record is from the annotation of a GenBank genome assembly.